GAGGAGAGAGAAAGGGGGUCAGACAGAGAGAGCAGUAGUGACUCAUUAAUUCCCGAGAGGAAAGAAGAGACGACAGAAAUGAGGAUCUCCCACUGAAAUCUGCCCCUCUGCAGCCCUGAGCUUCCUGCACAUCCAGCACUUCCUCAGUCUGCUCUCCACAACUGAAGACUCCACAAUUCUGCAUCCACCGCUUCAGUACCAACAGGUGCUUUAGUACCUGCAAGUGUUCCUGACACAUCGGGACAUCAGGGGGGAUGGAGGAUAGCAGUAAGCCAGAGACGGUGCCUCCUGGCUUUGGUGGGAUGUCGGCCAUGUCUGGGCCUCUGCUCCCAGCCUCCCUGGAGAAGCUGCACAGCCAGACGGACUCCCUCCUCACUGCAGCCCGGCUUGUCCGCAGAGGUUGGACGGAGGAGGGGAAGAAGACAGGGUGGCAAGUUUCCUGUUUUGACUCCUCACGUCGACCAUCUGUCUCCGGGUCAGAUGGAAAUCAGGGUCCAAAAGGUGGUGCGGAGAGAGGAACGGGCUCUGAAAAACAGGAAGAUGAAGCAAAACGGACUGAAAGUGCAUUCUCAGCUAACAGACAAGCAGAAAGACAGACAGGCAUUCGUAUCUUGGUGUCCGGCUGUCGCACCACAUUCAGACAAUCCAGGAGGUUCAAGGCCCCGAUACUACCGGUCAUCGCCGAGAUCUAGACUAUAGCUGACCUUUGUUACAGAAGGGACAAUGAAUUAAAGGCAAAGGUGCAUAAACAACAUAUUUGGUUAUGAUAAGAGCUCUACAAUAUGCAGACUUUAUUUAAACCUUGAGGAAUUUGCUGGUGUUAAUACUGUUGAUGUAAACAUGAGAUUAAAUUGACUUUUUUCAUAAAUGUGCAAAUAUGUACUAAUGUAUAACUGUGUGUUGGUGUUGUGUUCUUGUAAAAAAAAAACAUUAAAGGUGCAGUCGAAUCAA
Molecule: long non-coding RNA, 951 nt
Organism: Anoplopoma fimbria (sablefish)
Lineage: Eukaryota; Metazoa; Chordata; Actinopteri; Perciformes; Anoplopomatidae
Exons: 3
Source: RefSeq, a predicted model, not a curated record